RNAcentral lists this long non-coding RNA (825 nucleotides) under Homo sapiens (human). RNAcentral's name for it is "non-protein coding LINC01473:4". Lineage: Eukaryota; Metazoa; Chordata; Mammalia; Primates; Hominidae. The record is from RNAcentral.
GAACUUAAGCAGGAAAAGAAGAAAGCUGAAAACACACUGAGGAUUAUGGGAGAGGGGCAAGUGCAUGAAGCUUCUCAAUGACAUACAGACACUCUAAAAGCUCAAGAGAUCAAUUAUUCAACUUCAAGAACUGAAAUUUGAACACAGAUUUUGAGCUUCCAAAUCAGCUGCUAAUAUGGGAAAGAUUGAAAUCAGCAAGUUUCUGGCUGUAAGCUAAAAGAGGCUCUUGAAUCAUAUUUCCGCCUGCUUAGCAAAUUUCUCUUGCGACAAUUGGAUGUUAUUUGGGGUUCCAUACUAGCAGGAAGAAGUACAAGCAAAGCUAAGUCAUUUUGAGAAUAAAUAUUAUCUCUCUAUAUAUUUGUAAAUGUUAUUUUCUUUUUUUUUGAGGUUUAUGAUUGAUCCUUGGCAUGUGUCCCCUUGUGUAUUGCUCUACUAAAAAUAGCCUAAAAAAGAAUUUUCCCCUCGAUGUGGAGCUUCUCUUUAGUUACAAUUCUACUUUCUCCUUCACUUGAGUAUCAGUCUUCAGAGAACUACCAUAACAAAGGAGUGGAUACAGAUAUACGCAAAAAAGUCUAUGAGAAAAUUAGUACAUUAAAUUUGUGAAAGCUCAUUUAAAGUAAUUUUCUACUAACAAUUUUAAUCAAAUGUAUUAAUCAUAUUUCUAUGCUUAGUGAUGUUAAAUAAAAAUUUAAAAGGUGGCAAUCAAUAAACAGAGAUAAAAGCUUCUCAAGAAUAAAUGAAAGGAAGUAAUAAAAAGACUCACUAAGCUGAAUUGCCUCCUAUCAACAGCAGCUGAUAAAAUAUUAAAAGAUUUGCCUUGUGUAA